GAUGAACGCUGGCGGCGUGCUUAACACAUGCAAGUCGAACGAUGAAGCUGGAGCUUGCUCUGGUGGAUUAGUGGCGAACGGGUGAGUAACACGUGAGCAACCUGCCCCUGACUCUGGGAUAACAGCCGGAAACGGCUGCUAAUACCGGAUAUGCACCAUGAACGCAUGUUCUGUGGUGGGAAAGAUUUUUCGGUUGGGGAUGGGCUCGCGGCCUAUCAGCUUGUUGGUGAGGUAAUGGCUCACCAAGGCGUCGACGGGUAGCCGGCCUGAGAGGGUGACCGGCCACACUGGGACUGAGACACGGCCCAGACUCCUACGGGAGGCAGCAGUGGGGAAUAUUGCACAAUGGGCGAAAGCCUGAUGCAGCAACGCCGCGUGAGGGAUGACGGCCUUCGGGUUGUAAACCUCUUUUAGCAGGGAAGAAGCGAGAGUGACGGUACCUUCAGAAAAAGCGCCGGCUAACUACGUG
RNAcentral lists this ribosomal RNA (469 nucleotides) under uncultured bacterium. Its description in RNAcentral is "partial 16S ribosomal RNA". It matches the Rfam family "Bacterial small subunit ribosomal RNA", at positions 28 to 507 of the family's 1533-position model. The record is from RNAcentral.